CCAAACCGGCUAAACCGCCCCGAUCAUGCCCAUUUUUCGGCGUUCAAACCGCCGCACGGCUACCCCCCCCAUCCCGAUGCCCCCGGACCCUUGGUCCCGUGGGACCUGACGGAAACGGAAUCGGAUGCUCGGAUCAUGAGAUACGCCUAAAACCGUCUAAACCUACUGAGCGCACCCCGAACAUGCCCAUUUUUCGGCGUCCAAACCGCCGCGCGGCUACCCCCCCAUCCCGAUGCCCCCGGAACCCUGGUCCCGCGUGACCCGACGGAAACGGAAUCGGAGGCCCGGAUCAUGAGUUACGGCCCCUUCUUUGCGGCCCCCGAGGACGUGCGCUAUAGCCCCCCGGGCCACCCCCCAUCCGGCCGCACCCGCCCGAACCCCACCGAAUGCGUCCGCCGCCUCCCGAUCCCGCCCCGCGGUCCCCCCCGGGGCAUGAACCGCCCGCCGGCGGGCCGAAACCGGCCAAACCGGCAAAACCGCCCCGAUCAUGCCCAUUUUUCGGCGAUCAAACCGCCGCACGGCUACCCCCCCAUCCCGAUGCCCCCGGACCCCUGGUCCCGUGGGACCUGACGGAAACGGAAUCAGAUGCUCGGAUCAUGAGAUACCCCCAAAACCGUCUAAACCUACUGAGCGCACCCCGAACAUGCCCAUUUUUCGGCGUUCAAACCGCCGCGCGGCUACCCCCCCAUCCCGAUGCCCCCGGAACCCUGGUCCCGCGGGACCCGACGGAAACGGAAUCGGAGGCCCGGAUCAUGAGUUACGGCCCCUUCUUUGCGGCCCCCGAGGACGUGCGCUAUAGCCCCCCGGGCCACCCCCCAUCCGGCCGCACCCGCCCGAACCCCACCGAACGCGUCCGCCGCCUCCCGAUCCCGCCCCGCGGUCCCCCCCGGGGCAUGAACCGCCCCCCGGCAGGCCGAAACCGGCCAAACCGGCUAAACCGCCCCGAUCAUGCCCAUUUUUCGGCGUUCAAACCGCCGCACGGCUACCCCCCCAUCCUGAUGCUCCCGGACCCCUGGUCCCGUGGGACCUGACGGAAACGGAAUCGGAUGCUCGGAUCAUGAGAUACGCCCAAAACCGUCUAAACCUACUGAGCGCACCCCGAACAUGCCCAUUUUUCGGCGUUCAAACCGCCGCGCGGCUACCCCCCCAUCCCGAUGCCCCCGGAACCCUGGUCCCGCGGGACCCGACGGAAACGGAAUCGGAGGCCCGGAUCAUGAGUUACGGCCCCUUCUUUGCGGCCCCUGAGGACGUGCGCUAUAGCCCCCCGGGCCACCCCCCAUCCGGCCGCACCCGCCCGAACCCCACCGAACGCGUCCGCCGCCUCCCGAUCCCGCCCCGCGGUCCCCCCCGGGGCAUGAACCGGCCCCCGGCGGGCCGAAACCGGCCAAACCGGCUAAACCGCCCCGAUCAUGCCCAUUUUUCGGCGUUCAAACCGCCGCACGGCUACCCCCCCAUCCCGAUGCCCCCGGACCCCUGGUCCCGUGGGACCUGACGGAAACGGAAUCGGAUGCUCGGAUCAUGAGAUACGCCCAAAACCGUCUAAACCUACUGAGCGCACCCCGAACAUGCCCAUUUUUCGGCGUUCAAACCGCCGCGCGGCUACCCCCCCAUCCCGAUGCCCCCGGAACCCUGGUCCCGCGGGACCCGACGGAAACGGAAUCGGAGGCCCGGAUCAUGAGUUACGGCCCCUUCUUUGCGGCCGCCGAGGACGUGCGCUAUAGCCCCCCGGGCCACCCCCCAUCCGGCCGCACCCGCCCGAACCCCACCGAACGCGUCCGUCGCCUCCCGAUCCCGCCCCGCGGUCCCCCCCGGGGCAUGAACCGGCCCCCGGCGGGCCGAAAUCGGCCAAACCGGCUAAACCGCCCCGAUCAUGCCCAUUUUUCGGCGUUCAAACCGCCGCACGGCUACCCCCCCAUCCCGAUGACCCCGGACCCCUGGUCCCGUGGGACCUGACGGAAAUGGAAUCGGAUGCUCGGAUCAUGACAUACGCCCAAAACCGUCUAAACCUACUGAGCGCACCCCGAACAUGCCCAUUUUUCGGCGUUCAAACCGCCGCGCGGCUACCCCCCCAUCCCGAUGCCCCCGGAACCCUGGUCCCGCGGGACCCGACGGAAACGGAAUCGGAGGCCCGGAUCAUGAGUUACGGCCCCUUCUUUGCGGCCCCCGAGGACGUGCGCUAUAGCCCCCCGGGCCACCCCCCAUCCGGCCGCACCCGCCCGAACCCCACCGAACGCGUCCGCCGCCUCCCGAUCCCGCCCCGCGGUCCCCCCCGGGGCAUGAACCGCCCCCCGGCGGGCCGAAACCGGCCAAACCGGCUAAACCGCCCCGAUCAUGCCCAUUUUUCGGCGUUCAAACCGCCGCACGGGUACCCCCCCAUCCCGAUGCCCCCGGACCCCUGGUCCCGUGGGACCUGACGGAAACGGAAUCGGAUGCUCGGAUCAUGAGAUACGCCCAAAACCGUCUAAACCUACUGAGCGCACCCCGAACAUGCCCAUUGUUCGGCGUUCAAACCGCCGCGCGGCUACUCCCCCAUCCCGAUGCCCCCGGAACCCUGGUCCCGCGGGACCCGACGGAAACGGAAUCGGAGGCCCGGAUCAUGAGUUACGGCCCCUUCUUUGCGGCCCCCGAGGACGUGCGCUAUAGCCCCCCGGGCCACCCCCCAUCCGGCCGCACCCGCCCGAACCCCACCGAACGCGUCCGCCGCCUCCCGAUCCCGCCCCGCGGUCCCCCCCGGGGCAUGAACCGCCCCCCGGCGGGCCGAAACCGGCCAAACCGGCAAAACCGCCCCGAUCAUGCCCGUUUUUCGGCGUUCAAACCGCCGCGCGGCUACCCCCCCAUCCCGAUGCCCCCGGACCCCUGGUCCCGUGGGACCUGACGGAAACGGAAUCGGAUGCUCGGAUCAUGAGAUACUCCCAAAACCGUCUAAACCUACUGAGCGCACCCCGAACAUGCCCAUUUUUCGGCGUUCAAACCGCCGCGCGGCUACCCCCCCAUCCCGAUGCCCCCGGAACCCUGGUCCCGCGGGACCCGACGGAAACGGAAUCGGAGGCCCGGAUCAUGAGUUACGGCCCCUUCUUUGCGGCCCCCGAGGACGUGCGCUAUAGCCCCCCGGGCCACCCCCCAUCCGGCCGCACCCGCCCGAACCCCACCGAACGCGUCCGCCGCCUCCCGAUCCCGCCCCGCGGUCCCCCCCGGGGCAUGAACCGCCCCCCGGCGGGCCGAAACCGGCCAAACCGGCCAAACCGCCCCGAUCAUGCCCGUUUUUCGGCGUUCAAACCGCCGCGCGGCUACCCCCCCAUCCCGAUGCCCCCGGACCCCUGGUCCCGUGGGACCUGACGGAAACGGAAUCGGAUGCCCGGAUCAUGAGAUACGCCCAAAACCGUCUAAACCUACUGAGCGCACCCCGAACAUGUCCAUUUUUCGGCGUUCAAACCGCCGCGCGGCUACCGCCCCAUCCCGAUGCCCCCGGAACCCUGGUCCCGCGGGACCCGACGGAAACGGAAUCGGAGGCCCGGAUCAUGAGUUACGGCCCCUUCUUUGCGGCCCCCGAGGACGUGCGCUAUAGCCCCCCGGGCCACCCCCCAUCCGGCCGCACCCGCCCGAACCCCACCGAACGCGUCCGCCGCCUCCCGAUCCCGCCCCGCGGUCCCCCCCGGGGCAUGAACCGCCCCCCGACGGGCCGAAACCGGCCAAACCGGGUAAACCGCCCCGAUCAUGCCCAUUUUUCGGCGUUCAAACCGCCGCACGGCUACCCCCCCAUCCCGAUGCCCCCGGACCCCUGGUCCCGUGGGACCUGACGGAAACGGAAUCGGAUGCUCGGAUCAUGAGAUACGCCCAAAACAGUCUAAACCUACUGAGCGCACCCCGAACAUGCCCAUUUUUCGGCGUUCACACCGCCGCGCGGCUACCAAAGCAUCCCGAUGCCCCCGGAACCCUGGUCCCGCGGGACCUUACGGAAACGGAAUCGGAGGCCCGGAUCAUGAGUUACGGCCCCUUCUUUGCGGCCCCCNNNNNNNNNNNNNNNNNNNNNNNNNNNNNNNNNNNNNNNNNNNNNNNNNNNNNNNNNNNNNNNNNNNNNNNNNNNNNNNNNNNNNNNNNNNNNNNNNNNNAGCCCCCCGGGCCACCCCCCAUCCGGCCGCACCCGCCCGAACCCCACCGAACGCGUCCGCCGCCUCCCGAUCCCGCCCCGCGGUCCCCCCCGGGGCAUGAACCGGCCCCCGGCGGGGCCGAAACCGGCCAAAUCCGGCUAAACCGCCCCGGAAUCAUGCCCAUUUUUCGGCGUUUCAAACCGCCGCACGGCUACCCCCCCAUCCCGAUGCCCCCGGACCCCUGGUCCCGUGGGACCUGACGGAAACGGAAUCGGAUGCUCGGAUCAUGAGAUACGCCCAAAACCAUCUAAACCUACUGAGCGCACCCCGAACAUGCCCAUUUUUCGGCGUUCAAUCCGCCGCGCGGAUCCCCCCCCAUCCCGAUGCCACGGGAACCCUGGUCCCGCGGGACCGGACGGAAACGGAAUCGGAGGCCCGGAUCAUGAGUUGCGGCCCCUUCUUUGCGGCCCCCGAGGACGUGCGCUAUAGCCCCCCGGGCCACCCCCCAUCCGGCCGCACCCGCCCGAACCCCGCCAAACGCGUCCGCCGCCUCCCGAUCCCGCCCCGCGGUCCCCCCCGGGGCGAUGAACCGGCCCCCGGCGGGCCGAAACCGGCCAAACCGGCUAAACCGCCCCGAUCAUGCCCAUUUUUCGGCGUUCAAACCGCCGCACGGCUACCCCCCCAUCCCGAUGCCCCCGGACCCCUGGUCCCGUGGGACCUGACGGAAACGGAAUCGGAUGCUCGGAUCAUGAGAUACGCCCAAAACCGUCUAAACCUACUGAGACGCNNNNNNNNNNNNNNNNNNNNNNNNNNNNNNNNNNNNNNNNNNNNNNNNNNNNNNNNNNNNNNNNNNNNNNNNNNNNNNNNNNNNNNNNNNNNNNNNNNNNNNNNNNNNNNNNNNNNNNNNNNNNNNNNNNNNNNNNNNNNNNNNNNNNNNNNNNNNNNNNNNNNNNNNNNNNNNNNNNNNNNNNNNNNNNNNNNNNNNNNNNNNNNNNNNNNNNNNNNNNNNNCGCCUCCCGAUCCCGCCCCGCGGUCCCCCCCGGGGCAUGAACCGGCCCCCGGCGGGCCGAAACCGGCCAAACCGGCUAAACCGCCCCGAUCAUGCCCAUUUUUCGGCGUUCAAACCGCCGCACGGCUACCCCCCCAUCCCGAUGCCCCCGGACCCCUGGUCCCGUGGGACCUGACGGAAACGGAAUCGGAUGCUCGGAUCAUGAGAUACGCCCAAAACCGUCUAAACCUACUGAGCGCACCCCGAACAUGCCCAUUUUUCGGCGUUCAAACCGCCGCGCGGCUACCCCCCCCCCCCAUCCCGAUGCCCCCGGAACCCUGGUCCGGCGGGACCCGACGGAAACGGAAUCGGAGGCCCGGAUCAUGAGUUACGGCCCCUUCUUUGCGGCCCCCGAGGACGUGCGCUCCCCCAUCCGGCCGCACCCGCCCGAACCCCACCGAACGCGUCCGCCGCCUCCCGAUCCUGCCCCGCGGUCCCCCCCGGGGCAUGAACCGGCCCCCGGCGGGCCGAAACCGGCCAAACCGGCUAAACCGCCCCGAUCAUGCCCAUUUUUCGGCGUUCAAACCGCCGCACGGCUACCCCCCCAUCCCGAUGCCCCCGGACCCCUGGUCCCGUGGGACCUGACGGAAACGGAAUCGGAUGCUCGGAUCAUGAGAUACGCCCAAAACCGUCUAAACCUACUGAGCGCACCCCGAACAUGCCCAUUUUUCGGCGUUCAAACCGCCGCGCGGCUACCCCACCAUCCCGAUGCCCCCGGAACCCUGGUCCCGCGGGACCCGACGGAAACGGAAUCGGAGGCCCGGAUCAUGAGUUACGGCCCCUUCUUUGUGGCCCCCGAGGACGUGCGCUAUAGCCCCCCGGGCCACCCCCCAUCCGGCCGCACCCGCCCGAACCCCACCGAACGCGUCCGCCGCCUCCCGAUCCCGCCCCGCGGUCCCCCCCGGGGCAUGAACCGCCCCCCGGCGGGCCGAAACCGGCCAAACCGGCAAAACCGCCCCGAUCAUGCCCGUUUUUCGGCGUUCAAACCGCCGCGCGGCUACCCCCCCAUCCCGAUGCCCCCGGACCCCUGGUCCCGUGGGACCUGACGGAAACGGAAUCGGAUGCCCGGAUCAUGAGAUACGCCCAAAACCGUCUAAACCUACUGAGCGCACCCCGAACAUGCCCAUUUUUCGGCGUUCAAACCGCCGCGCGGCUACCCCCCCAUCCCGAUGCCCCCGGAACCCUGGUCCCGCGGGACCCGACGGAAACGGAAUCGGAGGCCCGGAUCAUGAGUUACGGCCCCUUCUUUGCGGCCCCCGAGGACGUGCGCUAUAGCCCCCCGGGCCACCCCCCAUCCGGCCGCACCCGCCCGAACCCCACCGAACGCGUCCGCCGCCUCCCGAUCCCGCCCCGCGGUCCCCCCCGGGGCAUGAACCGCCCCCCGGCGGGCCGAAACCGGCCAAACCGGCAAAACCGCCCCGAUCAUGCCCGUUUUUCGGCGUUCAAACCGCCGCGCGGCUACCCCCCCAUACCGAUGCCCCCGGACCCCUGGUCCCGUGGGACCUGACGGAAACGGAAUCGGAUGCCCGGAUCAUGAGAUACGCCCAAAACCGUCAAAACCUACUGAGCGCACCCCGAACAUGCCCAUUUUUCGGCGUUCAAACCGCCGCGCGGCUACCCCCCCAUCCCGAUGCCCCCGGAACCCUGGUCCCGCGGGACCCGACGGAACCGGAAUCGGAGGCCCGGAUCAUGAGUUACGGCCCCUUCUUUACGGCCCCCGAGGACGUGCGCUAUAGCCCCCCGGGCCACCCCCCAUCCGGCCGCACCCGCCCGAACCCCACCGAACGCGUCCGCCGCGUCCCGAUCCCGCCCCGCGGUCCCCCCCGGGGCAUGAACCGCCCCCCGGCGGGCCGAAACCGGCCAAACCGGCAAAACCGCCCCGAUCAUGCCCGUUUUUCGGCGUUCAAACCGCCGCGCGGCUACCCCCCCAUCCCGAUGCCCCCGGACCCCUGGUCCCGUGGGACCUGACGGAAACGGAAUCGGAUGCCCGGAUCAUGAGAUACGCCCAAAACCGUCUAAACCUACUGAGCGCACCCCGAACAUGCCCAUUUUUCGGCGUUCAAACCGCCGCGCGGCUACCCCCCCAUCCCGAUGCCCCCGGAACCCUGGUCCCGCGGGACCCGACGGAAACGGAAUCGGAGGCCCGGAUCAUGAGUUACGGCCCCUUCUUUGCGGCCCCCGAGGACGUGCGCUAUAGCCCCCCGGGCCACCCCCCAUCCGGCCGCACCCGCCCGAACCCCACCGAACGCGUCCGCCGCCUCCCGAUCCCGCCCCGCGGUCCCCCCCGGGGCAUGAACCGCCCCCCGGCGGGCCGAAACCGGCCAAACCGGCAAAACCGCCCCGAUCAUGCCCGUUUUUCGGCGUUCAAACCGCCGCGCGGCUAGCCCCCCAUCCCGAUGCCCCCGGACCCCUGGUCCCGUGGGACCUGACGGAAACGGAAUCGGAUGCCCGGAUCAUGAGAUACGCCCAAAACCGUCUAAACCUACUGAGCGCACCCCGAACAUGCCCAUUUUUCGGCGUUCAAACCGCCGCGCGGCUACCCCCCCAUCCCGAUGCCCCCGGAACCCUGGUCCCGCGGGACCCGACGGAAACGGAAUCGGAGGCCCGGAUCAUGAGUUACGGCCCCUUCUUUGCGGCCCCCGAGGACGUGCGCUAUAGCCCCCCGGGCCACCCCCCAUCCGGCCGCACCCGCCCGAACCCCACCGAACGCGUCCGCCGCCUCCCGAUCCCGCCCCGCGGUCCCCCCCGGGGCAUGAACCGCCCCCCGGCGGGCCGAAACCGGCCAAACCGGCAAAACCGCCCCGAUCAUGCCCGUUUUUUCGGCGUUUCAAAACCGCCCGCGCGGCUACCCCCCCAUCCCGAUGCCCCCCGGACCCCCUGGGUCCCGGUGUGACCUGACGGAAAACGGAAUCGGAUGCCCGGAUCAUGAGAUACGCCCAAAACCGUCUAAACCUACUGAGCGCACCCCGAACAUGCCCAUUUUUCGGCGUUCAAACCGCCGCGCGGCUACCCCCCCAUCCCGAUGCCCCCGGAACCCUGGUCCCGCGGGACCCGACGGAAACGGAAUCGGAGGCCCGGAUCAUGAGUUACGGCCCCUUCUUUGCGGCCCCCGAGGACGUGCGCUAUAGCCCCCCGGGCCACCCCCCAUCCGGCCGCACCCGCCCGAACCCCACCGAACGCGUCCGCCGCCUCCCGAUCCCGCCCCGCGGUCCCCCCCGGGGCAUGAACCGCCCCCCGGCGGGCCGAAACCGGCCAAACCGGCAAAACCGCCCCGAUCAUGCCCGUUUUUCGGCGUUCAAACCGCCGCGCGGCUACCCCCCCAUCCCGAUGCCCCCGGACCCCUGGUCCCGUGGGACCUGACGGAAACGGAAUCGGAUGCCCGGAUCAUGAGAUACGCCCAAAACCGUCUAAACCUACUGAGCGCACCCCGAACAUGCCCAUUUUUCGGCGUUCAAACCGCCGCGCGGCUACCCCCCCAUCCCGAUGCCCCCGGAACCCUGGUCCCGCGGGACCCGACGGAAACGGAAUCGGAGGCCCGGAUCAUGAGUUACGGCCCCUUCUUUGCGGCCCCCGAGGACGUGCGCUAUAGCCCCCCGGGCCACCCCCCAUCCGGCCGCACCCGCCCGAACCCCACCGAACGCGUCCGCCGCCUCCCGAUCCCGCCCCGCGGUCCCCCCCGGGGCAUGAACCGCCCCCCGGCGGGCCGAAACCGGCCAAACCGGCAAAACCGCCCCGAUCAUGCCCGUUUUUCGGCGUUCAAACCGCCGCGCGGCUACCCCCCCAUCCCGAUGCCCCCGGACCCCUGGUCCCGUGGGACCUGACGGAAACGGAAUCGGAUGCCCGGAUCAUGAGAUACGCCCAAAACCGUCUAAACCUACUGAGCGCACCCCGAACAUGCCCAUUUUUCGGCGUUCAAACCGCCGCGCGGCUACCCCCCCAUCCCGAUGCCCCCGGAACCCUGGUCCCGCGGGACCCGACGGAAACGGAAUCGGAGGCCCGGAUCAUGAGUUACGGCCCCUUCUUUGCGGCCCCCGAGGACGUGCGCUAUAGCCCCCCGGGCCACCCCCCAUCCGGCCGCACCCGCCCGAACCCCACCGAACGCGUCCGCCGCCUCCCGAUCCCGCCCCGCGGUCCCCCCCGGGGCAUGAACCGCCCCCCGGCGGGCCGAAACCGGCCAAACCGGCAAAACCGCCCCGAUCAUGCCCGUUUUUCGGCGUUCAAACCGCCGCGCGGCUACCCCCCAAUCCCGAUGCCCCCGGACCCCUGGUCCCGUGGGACCUGACGGAAACGGAAUCGGAUGCCCGGAUCAUGAGAUACGCCCAAAACCGUCUAAACCUACUGAGCGCACCCCGAACAUGCCCAUUUUUCGGCGUUCAAACCGCCGCGCGGCUACCCACCCAUCCCGAUGCCCCCGGAACCCUGGUCCCGCGGGACCCGACGGAAACGGAAUCGGAGGCUCGGAUCAUGAGUUACGGCCCCUUCUUUGCGGCCCCCGAGGACGUGCGCUAAAGCCCCCCGGGCCACCCCC
This 9664-nucleotide long non-coding RNA is filed under the name Citrus x clementina. RNAcentral describes it as "Citrus clementina (C. clementina) long non-coding RNA (CCLE_LNC005865)". Lineage: Eukaryota; Viridiplantae; Streptophyta; Magnoliopsida; Sapindales; Rutaceae. The record is from RNAcentral.